GUGUUGGGUAUAAAAUACCCCCCAGCUGAAGUUCGUGACAGGAGUGACCCUCCGGGGAUCCAACCGACUUCCGACCUCCGACGACAUCUCUCCGAGCCUCUCUGGCGGUCGAGCCUCUGCAACGCUCCCAAGUUUUGCCGACGGACAAACCCCCGCCAGCGUUGAUCGGAUUCUUCACGACAUCCAGACUCCUACGAGAGCAGGACUUCAUCCUUAACUCCGGCUGCAGGAAGACUCCGCCCGGACUCCUACGGGAGCCGGACUCCGCCCAC
RNAcentral lists this long non-coding RNA (272 nucleotides) under Elaeis guineensis (African oil palm). Its description in RNAcentral is "long non-coding RNA (EGUI_LNC054900)". Lineage: Eukaryota; Viridiplantae; Streptophyta; Magnoliopsida; Arecales; Arecaceae. The record is from RNAcentral.